Leptinotarsa decemlineata (Colorado potato beetle) is the source of this 359-nucleotide long non-coding RNA. The record is from RefSeq and is a predicted model, not a curated record. NCBI's taxonomy places the organism in Eukaryota, Metazoa, Arthropoda, Insecta, Coleoptera, Chrysomelidae.
GCCCUACAGAUACGUACUUUCUCACUAUGAGUAACUACAAGUUUAUGUUUGUGUGUGCUUUAGUGCUCGUUUUGGGUAUCAUGGUGGCCCAGACUCAGCAGGAAGGCAUCAGGUCAGGAGUGGACACAGGUUUCCAGGCAAAAUCUGACUUCGCAGGGAAGCGAAAAAGUGCCGAUAAACUACUUGGAAAAACGCUCGGCUUAAAGGUACCGCGGGAUCCAUUGGAGACACGAUAAGAGGAGUUUUUUCUAGGAUUAAGAAAAUAAUAAAAAUAUGAAAAUAAUCAAGAAAAAACUUGGAGAAAUUCUCGCUGACAACGAAUAUAUAUUUGCAUUAUAAAAUUUCCAGUAUUUCACUGA